This 1511-nucleotide ribosomal RNA is filed under the name metagenome. Its description in RNAcentral is "bacterial LSU rRNA". It matches the Rfam family "Bacterial large subunit ribosomal RNA", at positions 1396 to 2925 of the family's 2925-position model. The record is from RNAcentral.
GAGAAGCCGAAAGGCGUAUCUGAUGGACAGCCGGUUAAUAUUCCGGCCCUCUAAUACUUUUCCGGAGGGGGACGCAAUUUAGUAGUCUAGGCGGGUUAUUGGAUUCCCGUCGACUACCUAAGGGGCAACCCAAGGGUAGGCGUGAAGCCUGUCGUAAGACAGGUGAAACUAGAUGAGCAAGUUGCCCAGAAAAUCCCGCAGGGUUAAAAGUAUUAGAUCCGUACCAGAAACCGACACAGGUGGGUAGGCACAAGUGUGCCAAGGUGAACAAGUGAAAGGUCCUGAAGGAACUCGGCAAAAAAGUGGUCGUAACUUCGGGAUAAGACCUCCCUUUUGAACCCAUUACUUUUGUAGUGGGCAUAAAAAGGGCGCAGCGAGCGUAUCUCUAGCGACUGUUUAUCAAAGACACAGGUCCCUGCUCAACUCGUAAGAGGAUGUAUAGGGGCUGAGGCCUGACCAGUGCCAGAGUGUUAAAAGUGGCUGUUGUUUCAGCAAUGGGACAGCUGACCGCUCCAAGCCUCUGGUGAACGUCCGCGGUAACUCUGACCGUGUUAAAGUAGCGUAAUCCCUUGUCGGGUAAGUUCCGACCCGCAUGAAAGGCUUAACGACUAGAGAACUGUCUCCAGGACUUGCUUGGUGAAAUCGCUAUAGGGGUGAGAAUGCCCCUUACCUGUGGCUAGACAGGAAGACCCCGGGAGCUUUACUAUAUCCUGACAUUGAGUUUUGAUGUUAGAUGCGUAGCAUAGGUGGGAGACUUUGAAGCCGUUCUUUUGGGAGCGGUGGAGUCGCCAGUGAAAUACCACUCUUUUAAUGUCAGAAUUCUAAUUUUGCUUGUUGAGGAGACAAGUGGAAGACAGUGUUUGGUUGGUAGUUUAAGUGGAGCGCUUUUCUCCUAAAAGGUAACGGAGAAGUUUAAAGGUCAGCUAGCUCCGGAUGGAAAUCGGAGUAGUCCUGCAAAGGGAAAAGCUGGCUUAACUGCAAGACGGAUAUGUCGCGCAGGUGGGAAACCAGAACUUAGUGAACCGACCAUGGUUCGUAGGACCGUGGAAGAUCAUCAGACAAAAGUUACCCCGGGGAUAACAGGCUGGUAGUGCCCGAGAGUCCACAUCAACGGCACUGUUCGGCACCUCGAUGUCGGCUCAUCACAUCCUGGGGCUGUAGAAGGUCCCAAGGGUUUGGCUGUUCGCCAAUUAAAGUGGUUCGUGAGCUGGGUUCAAACCGUCGUGAGACAGGUUGGUCCAUAUCUACCUCAGGCGUUAAGUUUUGAGGAGAGUUGUCCUUUGUACGAGAGGAUCAGGAUGAACUAACCUCUGGUGUAUCAGUUGUCGCGCCAGCGGCAUCGCUGAGUAGCUAUGUUAGGACGGGAUAAGAGCUGAAAGCAUCUAAGCUCGAAGCCCACUCCAAGAUUAGAACUUUUACCCAGGUUAAAGAUGAUGACCUUGAUAGGGCGCAGGUGUAAGCUCUGUAAAGAGUUGAGCCGAGCGCUACUAAUUGGGUUAAAAAAUCUUUUU